AGUGAACGCUGGCGGUAGGCCUAACACAUGCAAGUCGAACGGCAGCACAGUAAGAGCUUGCUCUUACGGUUGGCGAGUGGCGGACGGGUGAGGAAUACAUCGGAAUCUACUUUUUCGUGGGGGAUAACGUAGGGAAACUUACGCUAAUACCGCAUACGACCUACGGGUGAAAUCAGGGGUUCUUCGGACCUUGCGCGUUUGAAUGAGCCGAUGUCGUAUUAGCUAGUUGGCGGGGUUAAGGCCCACCAAGGCGACUAUCCGUAGCUGGUCUGUGAGGAUGAGCAGCCACACUGGAACUGAGACACGGUCCAGACUCCUAAGGGAGGGAGCAGUGGGGAAUUUUGGACAAUGGCCGGAAGCCAGGUCCAGCCAUACCGCGUGGGUUGAGAAGGCCUUCGGGUUGUAAAGCCCUUUUGUUGGGAAAGAAAAGCAGCAGUUUAAUACCCCGCUGUUCUGACGGUACCCAAAGAAUAAGCACCGGCUAGCUUCGUG
RNAcentral lists this ribosomal RNA (492 nucleotides) under uncultured bacterium. RNAcentral describes it as "partial 16S ribosomal RNA". It matches the Rfam family "Bacterial small subunit ribosomal RNA", at positions 29 to 507 of the family's 1533-position model. The record is from RNAcentral.